AAGUCGUAACAAGGUUUCCGUAGGUGAACCUGCGGAAGGAUCAUUAAAUAAACGGUCCUUUUGAGGAUGUCUGAAACCCUUGAAUAUACAAACUUAGUUGCCUUGGCGGGCCGCCCUUGGGCGUUGGCCUCGGCUGACUGUGCCCGCCAGAGGACCAAAACUCUUUUGUUUAGUGAUGUCUGAGUACUAUAUAAUAGUUAAAA
Molecule: unclassified non-coding RNA, 203 nt
Filed under: plant metagenome
Description: partial contains small subunit ribosomal RNA and internal transcribed spacer 1
Rfam family: Eukaryotic small subunit ribosomal RNA (bases 1-46)
Source: RNAcentral